This 496-nucleotide ribosomal RNA is filed under the name uncultured bacterium. Its description in RNAcentral is "partial 16S ribosomal RNA". It matches the Rfam family "Bacterial small subunit ribosomal RNA", at positions 28 to 507 of the family's 1533-position model. The record is from RNAcentral.
GAUGAACGCUGGCGGCGUGCCUAAUACAUGCAAGUCGAGCGAACGGACGAGAAGCUUGCUUCUCUGAUGUUAGCGGCGGACGGGUGAGUAACACGUGAUAACCUACCUAUAAGACUGGGAUAACUUCGGGAAACCGGAGCUAAUACCGGAUAAUAUUUUGAACCGCAUGGUUCAAAAGUGAAAGACGGUCUUGCUGUCACUUAUAGAUGGAUCCGCGCUGCAUUAGCUAGUUGGUAAGGUAACGGCUUACCAAGGCAACGAUGCAUAGCCGACCUGAGAGGGUGAUCGGCCACACUGGAACUGAGACACGGUCCAGACUCCUACGGGAGGCAGCAGUAGGGAAUCUUCCGCAAUGGGCGAAAGCCUGACGGAGCAACGCCGCGUGAGUGAUGAAGGUCUUCGGAUCGUAAAACUCUGUUAUUAGGGAAGAACAUAUGUGUAAGUAACUGUGCACAUCUUGACGGUACCUAAUCAGAAAGCCACGGCUAACUACGUG